This is a non-coding RNA of Carassius auratus (goldfish), 1496 nucleotides long. NCBI's taxonomy places the organism in Eukaryota, Metazoa, Chordata, Actinopteri, Cypriniformes, Cyprinidae. The record is from the annotation of a RefSeq genome assembly.
CAAGACACAACAACAACAAUGAACAACAUCAUCAUCCUCAUCUGGACUCUCACACUGUUUGCUCAAGAGUGUAGAGGACAGUACACUGUAACUCAGAGUCCAUCAUUAAUAACAGCAGCUCAAGGACAAGACAUCAAAAUAAACUGUAAAACCAGCAGUAGAGUGUGUGAUGGAUAUCGUUUAGCCUGGUACUUACAGAAACCUGGAGAAGCUCCUAAACUCCUCAUAUAUUAUGCAACGAACCGUUACACUGGAACUCCUUCUAGAUUCAGUGGCAGUGGAUCUAACAGUGAUUUCACUCUGACCAUCAGUGGAGUCCAGACUGAAGAUACAGGAGAUUAUUACUGUCAGAGUGUACACUGUCCUAGUAGCUGGGUGUUCACACAGUGAUACAGAGUCGUACAAAAACCUCCGUCAGUCAGAGUCACAGUGACUGCACUGAUACAGCUGAGAGACACUGCAGCUGCUGAUGAGAGGAUCACAAACAACACAAUGACUUCAAGUAACACAUUUUCCAGAGAUUAUGGCAUACCAACAUUAAUAUGAACUGUAUUUAUUUACCUACAUGAACAUUUAAAUAACAGAUUCAUCUGCUCUAGUCUUGUCUGCUUGAGGACUAAAUGUCUGGAACAAUGUACUCUGGACAGAAAAGUCAAAGGUUGAGCAGUUUUCUGAAACUUAAAUGGAAAUUUCAACAGGAUAAUGACAUUAAUCAUUCAAGAGGAUUGAUUGAGAAGAAUGAAAUGGAGGGUUUUAAUAACUGUAGCGAAUCGGGAGGAGUUUCAAAUGAACGCUAGACAUACAUUCUUUAGGUAGGACCAGAGCCAUAUAGAGAGAGAGUUGCGACAACUGAAGUUCGAAAUGUCAUGUGAUUCGUGUAGACUUCAAAUAGUUCCAGGAAGUUCGUUUGCGGCCAUUCAAACUGAAAGAGAAGAGUGACAGAACUGCGAUUUCUGGUAAUUAGGAGUCAAUAAAUGCAUUUUAUUCUAUAUAAUUAUACAAAACACACCGACAUAUGUAUGUAGCGUGAUUAUGUACUUACAACGAUGUUUUUAAAAUAUAAAAUCAGGUCCUUUCUGAGGAUUAGUUACCGUUAUUUGCUGUUAUUUCAAAAACUCAUUUCAGGCUAACGUUAAGUUGUAAAAAUGGGUUGCUGUUGCCUUUUUAUGUUACACAUUAUUCUUUUUUUCACUGAUGUCAUGUUAACUAAUGUCAUAUUGAUGACUUUAUGACUUCCAGAUAGUACAGACAGGCUGGUGACAGAUGAUUUUCAGCUCGCACCGCACAAGGGGUCAAUUAACUAUAAGCAGCAGUAAUUAGCAUGUUAAGUAAAUGUAAAAUGAAGCUUAUUAGUUACAAUUCAUACAAUUACACAUAGUAAUAUAAUUGUGUAUUAUAGAUAUUAUUUAUCUAAUGUAUAAUUCUUACAAUACUUAUUCGUAUACACAAUAUAUUCAGAUUUAAAACAACUUAAGCAUACUCAUAUAUAAACAUGU